This 291-nucleotide unclassified non-coding RNA is filed under the name Hevea brasiliensis (rubber tree). Lineage: Eukaryota; Viridiplantae; Streptophyta; Magnoliopsida; Malpighiales; Euphorbiaceae. The record is from RNAcentral.
AUAGGCUUAUUUUUUAUUGCUACCAAAAUAAAAAAAAUGACAUCAUACAACUCUUGCUUGUAAAUAAGCAAGUCUUAUUUAGGCUAAAAUGGAGAAGCCAUUAAGCUAACGCUAACACAAUCAACUAGUCUUCUGUCUUUGUACAUUUUGUAGCUAUACCAUGCAUAUCACCUAUGAGUUGUUGUAGAUGGCAUUGGAUAUGUAAUAAGACCCAAGUUCAUUAUUGCACCUGGAACCACUACUCCUGGUAUUGGGGCUCUAAAGCCAUAAGCCAUGUAUGCAGGGCCAAGA